UAGCAAUUAGCUCAGUUGGUUUAGAGCGCCUUACUUACAAUAUGGAGGUCAUAGGUUCGAAUCCUAUAUUGCUAA
Molecule: transfer RNA, 75 nt
Filed under: Blastocladiella sp.
Lineage: Eukaryota; Fungi; Blastocladiomycota; Blastocladiomycetes; Blastocladiales; Blastocladiaceae
Description: tRNA-Val
Rfam family: tRNA
About the family: Transfer RNA (tRNA) molecules are approximately 80 nucleotides in length.
Source: RNAcentral